Molecule: ribosomal RNA, 499 nt
Filed under: uncultured organism
Description: bacterial SSU rRNA
Rfam family: Bacterial small subunit ribosomal RNA
Source: RNAcentral
AACGAACGCUGGCGGCGUGCUUAACACAUGCAAGUCGAACGCGAAAGGGACUUCGGUCCUGAGUAAAGUGGCGCACGGGUGAGUAACGCGUAGAUAACCUGUCUUCGAGUCUGGAAUAAUACACCGAAAGGGGUACUAAUACCGGAUAUUCUUGCAUUUCAUAAGGAGUGUAAGCAAAGGUGGCCUCUGUAUAUGCUACUGCUUGAUGAGGGGUCUGCGUACCAUUAGCUAGUAGGUGGGGUAAUGGCCCACCUAGGCUACGAUGGUUAGCGGGUCUGAGAGGAUGAUCCGCCACACUGGCACUGGAACACGGGCCAGACUCCUACGGGAGGCAGCAGUGAGGAAUAUUGCGCAAUGGGGGCAACCCUGACGCAGCGACGCCGCGUGAGUGAGGAAGGCCUUCGGGUCGUAAAGCUCUGUCAAAGGGAAAGAAAUGUAUAAUGGCUAAUACCUGUUAUAUUUGACGGUACCCUUAAAGGAAGCACCGGCUAACUCCGUG